This 460-nucleotide ribosomal RNA is filed under the name uncultured bacterium. RNAcentral describes it as "partial 16S ribosomal RNA". It matches the Rfam family "Bacterial small subunit ribosomal RNA", at positions 338 to 795 of the family's 1533-position model. The record is from RNAcentral.
CCUACGGGUGGCAGCAGUGAGGAAUAUUGGUCAAUGGGCGGGAGCCUGAACCAGCCAAGUCGCGUGAGGGAAGACGGUCCUAUGGAUUGUAAACCUCUUUAGCCGGGGAGCAAAGCCGGGCACGCGUGCCCGCCUGGAGAGUCCCCGCAGAAUAAGCUUCGGCUAACCCCGUGCCAGCAGCCGCGGUAAUACGGAGGAUGCGAGCGUUAUCCGGAUCUAUUGGGUUUAAGGGGUGCGUAGGCGGCUUUUUAAGUCGGCGGUAAAUUGGCGGGGCUCAACCCGGGCCGGCCGUUGAAACUGGGGGGCUUGAGUGGGCGAGAGGUAGGCGGAAUGCGUGGUGUAGCGGUGAAAUGCAUAGAUAUCACGCAGAACUCCGAUUGCGAAGGCAGCGUGCCGGGGCGCGACUGACGCUGAGGCACGAAAGCGUGGGGAUCGAACAGGAUUAGAUACCCUUGUAGUC